Canis lupus familiaris (dog) is the source of this 73-nucleotide non-coding RNA. NCBI's taxonomy places the organism in Eukaryota, Metazoa, Chordata, Mammalia, Carnivora, Canidae. The record is from Rfam.
GCCUGGCUGGCACAGUUGGUAGAGUUUGUGACUCUUGAUCUCGGGAUCGUGAGUUCAAGCCCCACGUUGGGUA